RNAcentral lists this ribosomal RNA (589 nucleotides) under Hemicriconemoides strictathecatus. Its description in RNAcentral is "SSU rRNA". It matches the Rfam family "Eukaryotic small subunit ribosomal RNA", at positions 1026 to 1643 of the family's 1831-position model. The record is from RNAcentral. Lineage: Eukaryota; Metazoa; Nematoda; Chromadorea; Rhabditida; Criconematidae.
CUGACCGUAAACGAUGCCAACUAGCGAUCCGACGGUGGCUCUUAGGCCCUGUUGGGGAGCUUCCCGGAAACGAAAGUCUUCCGGUUCCGGGGGAAGUAUGGUUGCAAAGCUGAAACUUAAGGAAUUGACGGAAGGGCACCACCAGGAGUGGAGCCUGCGGCUUAAUUUGACUCAACACGGGAAAACUCACCCGGCCCGGACACCGUGAGGAUUGACAGAUUGAUAGCUUUUUCAUGAUUCGGUGGUUGGUGGUGCAUGGCCGUUCUUAGUUCGUGGAUCGAUUUGUCUGGUUUAUUCCGAUAACGAGCGAGACUCCAGCCUACUAACUAGUGCGGGCAUUGUCUCUGUGCUUGUCACUUCUUAGAGGGAUUGGCUGCGCCUAGCGGCACGAAACGGAGCAAUAACAGGUCUGUGAUGCCCUUAGAUGUCCGGGGCUGCACGCGCGCUACACUGGCAAAGGCAGCGUGCUUGUCCGCCUCCGAAAGGAGCCGGUAAACCCUUGAAAAUUUGCCGUGAUUGGGAUCGGAAAUUGCAAUUAUUUUCCGUGAACGAGGAAUUCCUAGUAAGUGCGAGUCAUCAGCUCGCGUUG